RNAcentral lists this ribosomal RNA (500 nucleotides) under uncultured bacterium. RNAcentral describes it as "partial 16S ribosomal RNA". It matches the Rfam family "Bacterial small subunit ribosomal RNA", at positions 30 to 523 of the family's 1533-position model. The record is from RNAcentral.
AUUGAACGCUGGCGGAAUGCUUUACACAUGCAAGUCGAACGGCAGCACGGACUUCGGUCUGGUGGCGAGUGGCGAACGGGUGAGUAAUGUAUCGGAACGUGCCCAGUCGUGGGGGAUAACGUAGGGAAAAUUACGCUAAUACCGCAUACGAUCUAUGGAUGAAAGCGGGGGAUCGCAAGACCUCGCGCGAUUGGAGCGGCCGAUAUCAGAUUAGGUAGUUGGUGGGGUAAAGGCCCACCAAGCCAACGAUCUGUAGCUGAGCUGCGAGGACGACCAGCCACACUGGAACUGAGACACGGUGCAGACUCCUACGGGAGGCAGCAGUGGGGAAUUUUGGACAAUGGGCGAAAGCCUGAUCCAGCCAUUCCGCGUGCAGGAUGAAGGCCCUCGGGUUGUAAACUGCUUUUGUACAGAACGAAAAGGUUUCUACUAAUACUAGGAGCUCAUGACGGUACUGUAAGAAUAAGCACCGGCUAACUACGUGCCAGCCGCCGCAGUAA